UACGAGAGGCCCAAACGUUAUUCGGAAUUACUGGGCUUAAAGAGUUCGUAGGCGGCAUGAAAAGCAGGGUGUGAAAGCCCUCGGCUCAACCGAGGAAUUGCGCUCUGAACUGUCGUGCUUGAGGAACCUAGAGGUGAGCAGAACUGAUGGUGGAGCGGUGAAAUGCGUUGAUAUCAUCAGGAAUACCGGAGGCGAAGGCGGCUCACUGGGGGUUUUCUGACGCUGAGGAACGAAAGCCAGGGGAGCGAACGGG
RNAcentral lists this ribosomal RNA (253 nucleotides) under uncultured bacterium. RNAcentral describes it as "partial 16S ribosomal RNA". It matches the Rfam family "Bacterial small subunit ribosomal RNA", at positions 524 to 776 of the family's 1533-position model. The record is from RNAcentral. RNAcentral also lists the same sequence under 1 other name.